CCAAGACCCAACGCUGGUGGGGCAGUUCCGGCCCAGGGCGCCCGGCUUCUCCCGCUGCCGAGCCCGAACGAGCGCGCGAACCCCCUGUUGGGCAUCUCUGGAGGUGGAGCCGGCUGGAAGAAAAAAGAAAAAGGAAAACACCAGGAACGAGAUUAACAAACAGAAUUCCCAGAUAAAGCAUGACUUGGAAGGCAUGAUCAGGAAUGGAAUAAAGGGAAAAUGAAAGGCAAAAAUGAAGUAAGAAUGAACUUCUGAAAUUACGGCUUAAUGGCUCUAGAGGAAAGAAAUCUAAGAGCAAGGUCCUCACCUUGGAUAUACAGUAGAGCUUACUGUUAUUUUAAUAGCACUCACAAGGAAUUUGAGAAGUCAUUUGAGUCCUCUCUCCCUUCCCACAAGAAGAAGACUAGAACAAUGAUUAGAAGCUGAGAAGAUGAAAAAACUUGUGUUUCCAAUAAGACAUGAAAGCACUUUGUGAACUGUUAAUCAUUAGGCAUAUAAAAAUCAAACCAGGAAUAAUAAAAUCACGCAAGGAAUAAUGCAGAAAUACUAACAUUAUCAUCAAAGUGAACACUCUGGUUGCCAAAUAACAGUGGGUGGCUGGGCACAGUGGCUCACACCUGUAAUGUCAGCACUUUGAAAGGCUGAGGGAAGAUGGAAAGGGGACAAGAAGAAUAAAAUCUGAGUCCUGGGAGAGAAUCAGACCAAGCAGCUAAAUCUGAACCAUCUAUCCUCUGGAAGAAAAGAAAGGACAGAUAGCUGCCCUGCAAACCAGCUUGAGGGCUCAUUAAGGAAGUAAAAGAGUAACAGAUGACUCUUCCUUCUGGUACAGCUCACAUGAAGAGAUAAUAUUUAACAUCCAGAAGCUGCUGGAGGGCUGAGGGUGGGGAAGCAAGCCAAUGCUGAAUACACAAACAGCUAUGUUUUCACAGAAUAACAGACAAACAAUAUAUAAACAAUGUAAGCACUAUGCAGGACUAUGCGGAAGAUGCAAAAUUAUCCUCCACAGUUAAAAUGCUUUAACCAGUAGAUUGUCAGUCCCUUGAGAAUACAGACUGUCUCAGUAGCCUCAGAGCGUACCACCACUCCUGGAACAUUGCAGGUUCUCAGCAAAUGGUAGGAAGGUGUGAGUAGCUGCCAGCCACAACAUAACUAUCCAAAGCCACGAAUCCAGACAAUUUUAAGGGUUAUUGCGCCCACUUCCUUAGCUAAGUAUACAGAUGCUGAACAUAAUCUCAUCUUCUUUAUGAGUAGUUCAGUAUUGCCAUUUUAUAUAUGAAUUCUCUUCUGCCACAAUGAUGUCCCCCCCAAAUUCCUGAGGAGGGUAGGAGUAGUUCACUUUUUCACUGCAUUCCCCUGAGAAGGCUCUUUCUGAUUGUUGCAGUUGGGGUUAACUUUUAUCAACUUCAGAAAUGUACUUUAAUGCCAUUAAUAUAUAAUGCAUAUUGACCUACUCUAUUCCAAGAAAUGUAUAAGAUUUCUACGUAAGUUAUUUGCUCCAAAAAUCAUGGAAUCAUAGAAUUUUGGAGCUAGAAUGGGUCUUCGAGAUAUUCUAAUCGAACCACUUCAUUUACAAGUAAAAAAUCUGAGGUUAGGGGAGAGGCUGCUCUUAAUACUAUGCUCUUUGGAUCUCACUCCUCAACAAUAUUCUUAAUAGUGAUAAUAUUUAACAUUUUCAUAGUUCUUCAUAGGCUUCAAGUCUCUGUCACCCAAAUUUUUUCAUCCUACUAACCAUGAGAGUAAUAAUAAUCACAAAUAGCACUGGCUAGGUGUGGUGACUCACACCCAUAAUUCCAGCACUUUGGGAGACCUUGGCAGAAGGACCACUUGAGGCCAGGAGUUUGAGGACUGGGCAACAUAGUGAGACCCCCAACUCUAUUUUUAAAAAAACAGAAAAAUUAGACAUGGUGGCACGUGCCUGAAGUCCUUGCUACUAGAAAGGCUGAAGAGGGAGAAUCACUUGAGCCUAGGAGUUCAAGCUUGCAGUGAGCCAUGAUUGUGCCCCUGCACUCCAACCUGGGAGUUUAUUAGAGGGAGACCCUGCCUCUAAUAAAAAUAAACAAAUAAGUAAACACGUAAAUAAGCAGUAGCACUUACUGGUUAUUUCUGACAAACCAGUCAUUAAGUGCUUCUGCAUGAUUUCAUUAAUCGACCCCCAAUAGUUCUAUGACUAGGAUACUAUUAUUUUUGCUUGUUUAUAGAUCAGGAAUAUAGGCUUAAGGAGGUCAAGUAACUUGCCCAAGGCCACAGAGCUCGGGAAUGGAGCAGUUGAGAAUCAUCCUAAUUGCCUGGUACCAGAGCCUCUACAACAGUAUCUGGCUGCCUACUGUGCUUUCCCUGACAAACACCCCCGAAAGCACACAAAGAAGGUAUCAUACAAUAUAUUUUAAAGCAAUGCUUUGCUUGCAGUUUGAAGCCUCAUUUUAUAGGAAUUUUACACUCAUUCAAGCCUAGAAAAUAGAUUAAUUCCCUGGAGGAGAGAAUAGAGAAAGCAGCCUCCAGGGAUGCCUGUAGUUAAGGGACAAGAGCAGAAAGAGAACCUAACACAUAAUUAGGGUUACUACACUAUUCCGUACAGCCAUAAGCUUGAAAAUACACAUAUUUCAUUUCAGUGUAAAGUGUAUUGCACAAGAUUAAAACUGUGAUUAUGUAAAGUUGUUUUCAUAUCCACUCACUCACAAAUAUGAUUUGAAUAAAACAAUGUGCUGACAGGGUUGCCUGGUUACCAGUCAUCACUUAAGCAGGUACCAGCAGGCAUUUGGGCUACAUUCCUGGCACCCAGAUGGGCCAAUUUGGAAGCAGCAGUGACCUGGGCAAUGGCUGCUGUGCCUCUUAAAACCAACCACGAGGAUUAGAUGCCUGGAACUCUCUUCCACCUUGAACCAUCAUUGUUAAUUCAGUCGACAACUUUUCAAGCAUUCUGGCAACCUUAUGAAGCUCUUCCAGCUCCCACGUCCCCCGAAAAGAAACAAAUUAUUCCCUUCCAUAUGUCCCUCCAAAGAACUUUGUACCAACCUGUAGUAGCUUGCUAAUCUCAGUGUUCGGAUGGUAUUUAUCUACCCCCCUGACAGCUAAGCUUCGAGCAUUGUAGAAAAUUCCGAGGACAGCGUACUGAAGUGAAAAGAAUUUGGGCUUUGGAAUAAGAUAUACCUGUGUUUAACUCCUGGGUUAACUAUUUACUCACUGUGGCCAUGCAAAAGUUACUUAAAUGAACCUCCAUUUCCUCACCUUUAAAAGAGGCAUAAUAAUACCCACCUCAGGUGAUGAUUGUGAGAAUUAAACAAAGUAAGCACGUUCGUGGCAGCACUCAAUCAAUAGCAGCUUUUGUUAUGAAAACACCGUCCCUGCCCUUGAGCCUCUCACUGUCUAGUGGAGCGAGGUUCCCGUAAAUGACAUCUCAAAUGCCUGUGAUACAUUCUGUGAUGAAGAGCUGCAAGAGGGAUAUGGGAGCAGAGAGGAAGGUCAGCUUACCCCAGCCAGAGAGCAUCAUUUCAGGAAAGCCUCAUAGAAUAAGAAUGAAGAGGGCUCAGCUAAAUUUGUCCCAGGCAAAGGAGUACACACGACAGAACAUGGCAUGGUCAAGGAAUUGCAAGUGGUCAUUUACAAUUGAAGUUAUGGUUCAAGCUGGAGAAUGACGAGGGAUAAGGCUGGUGUAGAAAGAGCAUAGGUUUUGGAAUUCCAGCAGUCAGGAGUUCCAGCUUCACUCUCCAACCACAUAAAUAAUAACAAGUAUUAUUUAACUGUGUUUAAAUAUGUAUAUUUACAUAUUUACACUCAUAUUUCUUAUUGAAUCAGUUGGAGGAAUGGGUGAAUCAUUCCCUUACUGCAUAUUUUUUAGACACUCUCCAUCUGCCAGUCACUGUUCUAGGCACUGGGGACACAGCAGCUAACAAAACAGACAAAAGUCUCUGCCGUGGUGGGACUUACAGUUCGUGAAUCGAGAUGGGAAAGAGGGUGCAGGUGUCCAUGAGGGCACAGUGUGCUUCAUGGCCCCUGUGUCUUUAUGGUUCUCUGAUGAAAAGCUAAUAAACUGACAAGGCAAAGUUCCCAAGAGGUCUGGAUGUUAGUCCUACUUUGUAAUAACAAUGAGGAGGCUCUCAUCCUCUCCCUUAAUCGCUUCUCACUUAUCAACCCCCAGCUUCCUGUUGUGAUCCAGGGGAACCGGUGAGUUGUGUUGUUUGUCAGGAAGAAAUGUCAAGGAGAGCUCAAGUAAUUAUUGGGCUCUAAUGUCUAAAGCGAUGGCAAGAGGAAAUAGGAAAGCAGAGCACACAAAACGGCUGUGGAGAGGGAGAUUUGCCUAUCUCAGCAGCUGGGUGAUAAGUGAGCUCAGAUGCCUUGUGAUGAUGCAUGGAGGUUUCAUUUCAACAGCAGGAUAAUCAUACUUCACAUGUGUGCAUCUCUUUAGAGAAAGGGUUCACCAAGGGGAUCUCGUUUAAUCCUCAGAAAGGCUCUGUGAGGUAGGAAUUAACCCCAUUUAAUCCCAUCUCUCUCCUGUAGGUUAACUCCUCCCUCUCCACUGUGGCAUAUCACGAUGUCCGCGUUUCAGUCAUAAACAAAAAUAACUAAAGGCUUCCUUCAUUCCUUAUCCCUGUCUAGCCAUCAUGUCUUCCUCAUAGCCAAGUCCACCAAAUAUUAAGAACAUGCUUGUUAACUCCAUUGCUCCCUUUCCAUUUGCUCUUCCUACUGUGAUCAGCCCCCAAAGGCCCCGAAAUUGUUGUGACUUCCCAUAUGCCCAGUCCAAGGGAUGCCCGUCGGUCCCUAUCAUAGUUGGCUUCUUUAGCAUUUGAAGCCAUUCUCUGCUCUUUCUCCUCCUGCUCCCCAGCCUGCUCCUUGUCGGUCUUGUCCUCAGGUUCUUCUCCUCCACCAGACCUUAAUGCUGUCAACUGGGGUUCUUUCUACCACCCUUUUGUGUGUUAUGUGUCUGUGUGUUGUAUAUUUCUGUCUCUCCUGCUCUCCAAGUCAACAGGAUUUCUUUAAAAUCCUGUUCAGCCUUGUGAUUUGCGAAACCCUUUCUAGCAGCAGUAUGACUACCUCUCACCUUCUCCCUCUGCUGCCCCACCUUGAAAACAUGCGCGUUCCCCUGCCUCUUGCUUUCACAGUGGCUCUUUUCUAGCUUCAGUAAUGCUCACAUCAAUUGUGCUGUGACUGUUUGUACGUAUGUCUUCCCCAGGAGAUUGUGAAAAACUUCAGGGUCAAGACUAUGACUUUGCUAUUUUUGUUUCUCAGUGCCUGGCUAGGUACCUGGCCCAUGGUAGACACCGAGAUUUAGAAAUGUUUGAUGAAUUCUUAAGAGUCAAACCAAGAGCAAUUGAUAAACAGUCAGGGCCUGAACCCCAUUCUUCUGACUUUAAAGGUGGUAGUCUCUCUACCUCAGCAGAGAAAAAAAGCAAUGUUGCAUGUAUUUAAUUAUAAGUGCCUUGAGCCCAGUGAAUUCUAUAAAGUAAGGGGCAAGAUGGAGGGGAGGAUUUCCUUUUUCCCACAAACAUUGCCCCAGCUACCAGGUGUGGAAGGAUUGUUUGUAGCCUUCCUUUCACAUACCCCAGGAUAAAAGAAGAAAAGAAAAAAAGAAAAAACACCCACCUCCCCUCUCUUCCUUCCAGUGGACGGUCGUCACCAUCACUUCCUGUUAAGCCAGGAGGCAGGAAGCAUAUCCUAGCUCCUGAAACUUCCAAUUUCCCUCAGGUUUCAUCACAGACCAAGGGGUGGAGAGUGGUUUAAUAAGAUGCCUUGUAGCUGGACCUGUCUCUACCAUCCUGAAGCAAUACUCCUGAAGAAACCUUCAUAAAGUGGUCAAAGAUACACCUGGAAGGGAGGAAACUUUGCCUUUACCAGGAAUAAACAAGCCUUCUAGGGAGAGGCUCUGAAAUCAGACUAUGUGUGCAUUUGGCAAUUACAAGUUGAAGUUCCACCCAAAUACACACAAUCAAAGGCUUUAACCAAGGCCAUCAUUACGUGUGCAGAGCCCUCCUGCUGUUUGGGCAACAUUUUAGUGCUGCAGUGAAGCAAGAGAAAUGUCAUCAAAGCCACGAGGUACUGAGAGACUCGUUCGGCAGUGCCUUUUUUUGACCUGAUGAUUCACUUCACCUUGUCGUUUAUAAUGCUGCAGCCUGGGAGGGAAAGAAGGAAAUGAAGAGGAAAAGAGUAGGCUGUGUUGUGCAUGUAAUUUGUUUCGCUAUUUCAGACGGCUUUUUAAUGAGCUUUCUCAUUAAGGGCUCCGUGAGUCUAUGCUUAAAGUUUUCCGGACAAGCAAAUAAGCAAGACUGAAAUCAGAUGGCAUCAGCCCAGGACCUCAUAGUUUGUUUCAAAGCUACAGUCACGGGGAAUGGGGGUGCUUAAAAAACAUUCUUUGUGAGAACAGAGAUUUGAUAACUCUUUUGUCUUAAAACAUUUGAAAAUGAAUGAUGUGGUUUUAAUUAACCCCCAUGAAAAUUCCAACAUUCAUCAAGUAUUAGAAUAGUAGAGUGUAUCUGUGAUAGCAUUUCUCUAUUCAGCUGGUUCCCAUGGAGAGAGGUAAUUGUCCUGUGCUAUCCUAGCCCUGAGUUCAUAUUUCUGGUAGAGUACCCAUAACAUUGCAUUAGAGAUGAUGUCCCCUCUAGGUGCUGACCCUUGUAUGAUAGGCAGUCAGCCUUACCCAGUCCUCCUUUAUAUUUCCAGAGCCCAAUACAGUGUCCAGACAUACAGUAGACACUCAAUAAAGGUAGUUUUGCCAUUUAAAUGAAUUCAUUAGGUACAAUUAAUACAUGAACAAGUACAUAAAAGACUUAGACUUGAGUAGUAGACUUCACAUCAGGGUAAUUAAUCAUCUCGCAAGGUUCAACAUUUUAAUUUGCGAACAGUCCCUUAUUAAAGCGGCAUCCUUCAGUUAAAAUUAUCAAGAGGGAGGCCAGAUGCGAUGGCUCACCCCUGUAAUCCCAGUACUUUGGGAGGCCGAGGCGGGCAGAUCACCUGAGGUCAGAAGUUAGAGACCAGCCUGACCAACAUGGUGAAAUCCCAUCCCUACUAAAAAUACAAAAAUUAGCUGGAUGUGGUGGUGCAUGCCUAUAACCCCAGCUAUUCGGGAGGCUGAGGCACAAGAAUCGCGUGAACCUGGGAGGUGGAUGCUUCAGUGAGCUGAGACUGUGCCACUGCACUCCAGCCUCAGUAACAGAGCAAGACUCCAUCUAAAAUAAAUAAUAAAUAAAUAAUAAAAUAAAAUAAUCAAGAAACGUACUGGUGGGGAUUUGAAGUGUUUU
Molecule: non-coding RNA, 7229 nt
Organism: Callithrix jacchus (white-tufted-ear marmoset)
Lineage: Eukaryota; Metazoa; Chordata; Mammalia; Primates; Cebidae
Source: RefSeq, a predicted model, not a curated record